GCUCUGGUGGCUCAAUCGGAUAGAGCGUUGGACUUCUAAUCCAAAGGUUGCGGGUUCGAGUCCCGCUCAGAGUA
Molecule: transfer RNA, 74 nt
Filed under: Perkinsus olseni
Lineage: Eukaryota; Perkinsozoa; Perkinsida; Perkinsidae
Description: tRNA-Arg
Rfam family: tRNA
About the family: Transfer RNA (tRNA) molecules are approximately 80 nucleotides in length. Their secondary structure includes four short double-helical elements and three loops (D, anti-codon, and T loops).
Source: RNAcentral